AAAACCUAACUAGCAAUCGUAGCACUUAAAGCCGCUGUCGAACUCUGACCUUGUAAAUGACUUGUCCAUUAGAUAAGGGAUCAUAUAUUUCUCCAUUCUAGAUAUCAUAUGGACUGAGACAUGGAUUAUAAUCAUUCUCUCUGUCCAUUUAUUGUUUCCGGAUUUCCGAUUCAUGACGAUUGACUGAUUGAACAAAUCAAAUUAGUCCUAGCUUGGCCAAGCACUCACAUGUGUCAUCAUUAAAUCAUCGAGGGGCCCACAUAUAUCGCUUUUAUCCCGAAGGUAAAAGGAAUGGAUAAACUUUGACUCAUAUGGCUUGUUCUACUACUUGUUGAAUCAUACACAAAGGCACGUUUUAUAACAUCGAGUUACCGAAUGCAGUUUCGUGCAAUCAAUUUACAAACAACUCAUAGUAACAACUCAUAUCUCUAGGUUUGAAGAAUAUAAGAUAUUAUCGUCUCACGAUCACUCGUGAUAAAAUCCAUGAAGUGAUUCAAAUGAGUGCGGGUUGAANAGUUGUAGCACAACUUUGUCCACCAACUUGGACCUCUACAAGCCAACCCAUGACAGUCUUGAUUCAUAUCUACUUCCAACAUAUGACCGACUGUGGAUGGUUUGAAUAACUUAGUCAUUCUGAAAGAAUAACCUAGUUAUUAUGGAAGUCAAAACAUGCAAAGCGAGACACAAUAAUAAAUGAAUCUAAUAUGGUAUUAAAACCUAUGAAUAUAAAUAAAAAAACUUUCUAUUUAUCAUCAUAUUGAUUACUAAUUAUUCAUUGUUUCGGUUUUAUCAACUUUAUACUUAAAUUAAAAAACACUAGGUGUCCCAUGCUCCAAGCAUGUACACUAUGUUUUCUAAACAAUAGCUUUGCCAUACACCAAGUAUGAACUCUAUGCUUGUCUAUGAUCCUUUUCUUUUUGAACUAGAUCAAUUGAACAUAAUUUCAAUGAUUCUCUUUUCACACUCCCAAUUCCUUGUCUUAAAUGUAUGAAUUCCAAAUUCCUAUUAUUUAUCGAAUUCUCUUUAGAUUUUAAACUUAUAUGCACUGUUCCUAUUGUAAUGAUUAUGCACAAAACCACAAAGGCUUGGCAACAAUCAUUACAGAGUAUUCCAAUGGAAAAGCAUUCCAUGGAAACGAUGUCUCAAAUUCAAAGCGCAUUGCUUUGAACAUGCUUCUUGCAUUAGGUUUCUUUAACCAUACACAGAUUGUGACAACCGUCAAUUUUCGGUCAAGUCAAAGUCAACAAGUCAAACCGGUAAACUCAAUUUGCCCGUAGGUACUAGAGUUUACAUUAUGUAAUUUCUAAACAACACUCUAUUCUAAUGAGAGAUCAUAAAUCGAAAAGUGCGUACAUCUAGAUCUCCUUAACCUAAAACUAUGGUACGUGGCGAGCCAAACCAAUAAAACAAUUUUGCAUACUCAUCGGGAGUAUGCAAAAUCCUUAAACAAGGCUUAACGGGGCUUACGGACCUUGCAUUGUGAAGCCGGACACUUACAUUCAUCACACACGAAACCGCUCUCAAUCGUUUUCACUCUAUCUCUUUGUAUGAGAAAUCUCUCCAAGAAUGUCAAAUCUCUCCCAAAUCCCUCUAAGAAUGUGAAAUCUCUCCCACAUAUCUCUUUGUAUGAGAAAUCUCUCCAAAAAUGUAAAAUCUCUCCCAAAUCUCUCUAAGAAUGCUAAAUCUCUCUCACAUAUCUCUUUGUAUGAUAAAUCUCUACAAGAAUGUCAAAUCUCUCCCAAAUCUCUCUAAGUAUGUGAAAUCUCUCCCAAAUCUCUCUCUGAAUGAGAAAUCUCUCCAAGAAUGUCAAAUCUCUCCCAAAUCUCUCUAAGAAUGUGAAAUCUCUCCCAAAUAUCUCUUUGUAUGUGAAAUCUCCCCAAGUAUGUCAAAUCUCUCCCAAAUCUCUCUGAGUAUGUGGAAUCUCUCUCAAAUCUCUCUCGAAAUCUCUCCCAACUCUCUAUAAUCACUCGGGGCAUCCCGACCCUCGAAUUUGGCGAGAACAGCCCAAAAACGGAAGUCUACGCGAAAAACGGGCAUGAGGAACCGAAACCCCUCUUAGGACCCGAAAGUCCUCUUAGGAACCGAAAGUCCCCUUAGGAACCGAACCCUCCUGAUGAAGAAGGCUGCUGAACCGAACCGAACCUCACUCUAAGAACCGAACCCUUCUGAGCCGAAGGCUGCUCAACCGAACCCGAACGUUCGGCACCUUUCGGUUCUGACCAUUUCCUCUUCUGAUGACUAACCGAACCCUCCCUUCUGAUGGCUUGCCGAACCUUCCCUUCUGAGGACCGAGGACCGAGCCCUCGCUUCUGACUUCGGACCGAGCUCCCCGCCCCUUCGUUUCCCUCUGUUCGUUUCCGGCUACAAUCCUCAGCAUGGACCGAGCCUCGGCCUAGGGACCGAACCUCGGCCUAGGACCGAGAGGUCUCGCUGGGAACUCAUUUUCUCCCGGUUUUCGCGUAGUUUUGCGUUUAAGGCCCGUUUUUAAUUAUUUUAACGCGGGAUUUUCACCCAAAAUCAUAUUUUAACAUAAUAAACCCUAAAUAUUCACAAUUUAAUCAUAUUUUCAUAAAAAUCUUUAUUUAAAUAAUAAAAGCAAGUGGGUAAAGUACAAAGAGGUGGAGUGUUGACUUUGCUUUACCUUAUGACACAAGCAACCACUCCCACACCCACUCUAUGACCAGCCACACCUCCCCACCUUACCUAGGUCACAUCAAUGUCCUUUUCACUCAAUCAUCACUCUUUCCCACGUUUUUGAGAGCUGAAUAUUCAUCCUCUCUCCUCACUUCUCUCAUUUGCUCUCAUUUCACAAGAAGAUCAAACUCUUUUCUCUCUCACUUUCUCUCUCUAGAAAUUCGAGAUUUCCAGGGCUGAUCUUGAGUUUUUCCUCCACAUUUGGUAAGCAUAAUCCAUUCUCUUUAUGAUUAUCUCAAUUAUUUCCACUCAAAUCAUGGAUAUCUUACACAAACUCCAUUAUAUUUGUGUUAGAUCUUCGAAUCUUCAAGUGAUUCUUCAAGUGUUCUUGGGUUGAACACUUCUCUUCUUCAACACUUAUCUACUGAAAUCACUCAAGGUGAGUUCAUACCCCUACAUUUUCAUGUUUUCUCAAGUUUUUAGGGGGGGAAUACAAGUUAAAACACCAAGAACAUAACUAAACUUUUCUAACAGCCUUCAUCAGAAAAGUUCAACUCCAUUCACGGACUGUUUUGGACAACUUAAACAUUUUAGUUUUCAAAACUGUUUUAGGUGCAUGUAGUUCCACUUCUUAGCUUUAAAAUGACUACUUGCACAUCUCCAUACGAUUUUUCUACAAUUUAUGGUGAUUUUUACAAAACUGCCUAUCAUUUCAAACAUCAAUCCGGACCAGUCUGUGAUUAUGGACUUUUUCACACAAGUAAGAAGUCAUUAAAAAUUAUAAUAAAAAUUAUGAACAAACUAGACUCAUUUUCCAAACUCUCAGAAGUUACAGAACUUGAUUUGGACAUUUUAUGAUUUUUCUACAAAUUUUCCAAUAACAGUUACAGAAAAUGUUAUUAACAGAAAAACACUAUAAAUUUCAUUUCACCUUGUAACAUGUUGAGCAAGGUAUACAUCAUUAUGUGAUUAUGUGUUGUUGCAAUAUAUGACAAUUUUGUAUUCUUAUAUAGACAUACAUCAGAAAACAAAUGGAUUUAUACCUCCACAAGUAUGGUAAAUAUAUAAAUGAUAUUACAAGGCUAUAUCCAUUAAAAUAUAAACAUUGGUAAAUUAUGACAAGUAAGGCUUAUGCUCACUACCCACACAAAUAAUUAAUAAACUAUAAUAGGUAUAGUUUAGGGUUAUUUUACAUAACAAACACAUGAUUAAAGGUUUUACACAUACAAAAGAGUUAUUACCACUAUGGAUAAUUAUGAUAAACUAUAAUAAGUAUAGUUAAGCCAUUAUACCCCCACAAACGAACACGCUAGUUAUAAUCGGUAUAGUUAUGGUAUAUAUAUAUUACAAACAAAGUGAUAAACUAUAAUAGGUAUAGUUUAUGUUUCAUCUACCCUAUGAACUUAAUUACAAGAAAGGAAUUCACCAUCACCACCACUUUUGGUAAACUAUAAUAUGCAUAGUUCAUGUUCACUAGUCACUAUCACUAUUUGAUGAACUAUGAUAUGUAUAGGUUAUAUUCACCAUCACCACCACUUUUGGUAAACUAUAAUAUGCAUAGUUCAUGUUCACUAGUCACUAUCACUAUCCGAUGAACUAUGAUAUGUAUAGUUUAUGUUCACAGUCACUAUUACUAUUUCAUACACUACACUAGGGUUUGGUUCCGGUUUUUGGAUUUAAGUCCACAUUAAAUUUUCGCAUUGUUAGACUUCAACUAUAAUCGUUGAGCGUAUAUGCUUGAGUCAUACAAGAAUUUAGUCUGGAUUGGCUUAGAAUUGGUGGUGCCCGCCUCAUCUCCUGUUCCUCGUUGGGUUGUGGACCUAGGGCAGACCCACUAUAUUCAACGUUUUAUCUAACUUAAAUCUUAUAUAACUUAUAUACGCUGGACGAUUAUAGGGGAAAUCUACGGGUCAAUCUAGGGUUCAUCAACACAUCAUAUAGGAAUAUUCUGUUUACACUUAACUAAGAAAAUAUUGGAUUUUCUGGAGAUCAAACUCUAUCGAUUUUAAAAAGGAAAACGGUUUCUACUCCAAACAAAACUCUUAUGAACUCACCAACUUAAUUGUUGACCUCUUUCAUAACUACUUGUAUUCUCAGGAAAUCAGUGAAACAGGAAAACUUCAGCGCUUUGAGGAUGGGACGUUAAACUGUCAACAAUUUAUUUUUGUCAUUAUAAUGUAAUUGAUUUUGAAACAUGUAAACAUAUACUUUGGUGUAACUUUUUCAAUUAUAUUUAUGAUGGUUGUAUUUACUUUGAGCACUAUUAUACACGUAGUUGUGAUACUGUGCAUGAAGUCCUCCACCCCCGGACGUUUCCGCCAUCCUUGGUUUGGGGGUAUGACACAGAUUGCUUCCACCUAUGAAGGCAACUCUAUAUUCCCAUUUUGACUACCACUUUUGAACAAGAGUUCCCUCUUUUCAGACUAUGUCAAUAUGGCCCUUCCAAUAUUAACAGUAUACUUCCAGUUGUCCUUGAGCCACCAAUCUUUGGUAAACCUUAGAUUGUCCUCGACAAUUGCUUAAUCACUUUAGUCAUAUCUAAUUCUAGACAUCAUUCCCCUUAAUGCCCCAAGGCAUUUGGAAAAUUCAGAAAUGAUAAAUAUUAUAGCACAUGUAAUCGAUCUUAUACCCAAAGUAAAUGGGACAAGAUUCAUGAUGUUUCAUAUAAAGACAUGGUUCUAGACCAGUCUUUCGCCAUAAUAAUUUUUAUUUGCCAUAUUCUCAAAAUUUGACUAUGAAAAGGGAUGCCAUAAUCAUAAUUGAAUUUUAGAUUGCAAAUAAUAGACCCAUAUAUAGAAUUUCCUUAUGUUGAGCCAUUCCAACAUCAAAUUCAUAUAUGUAUCCUUGACUAAAUACGAUUAGAACCUCAAUCUAAGCUUUUAGAUUUGAGAUGAAGUAUAAUUUCCUCUCCCUUAAUUAUAGCAAAACAACUUUUUCUACCCCUAUAACCUCACGAAUUGAAACUUUUGUUUUAUAUAAUUAACAUUGCUAACUUGCAAUUCUUAUCAUAAUUAUCAUGCUCCCACGAACAUGAUGACUAUUAGCAUAUCACUUAUGCUCCCACUAGCAUUCACAUGUAUCUAGAAAACAGCUGGAACUGUAGAAGUCAAUACUUUAUUGACAUUCUUACCAAAGCUCAGAUUUCUGAUACUAGAUUGCUUUGAUAAGGCUUUAUCAAAAUUAGACACCUUAUCUUAGAUAGCUCACAGGUGUGUCUAAACAAUUUCAUAACUAUGAAAAGGGAUGCCGUAAUCAUAGUCUCAAUUGUUUAGACCUUUUUGCCAUUUCUCAUAAGUCAAUGUUAGUGUGCCGGUUAACCACGCACGCUCCACUAAUGACUUUCAGAACUGCAAAUAUCACAACUGCUAUCUACUUAGUGAAAGAGUUUCCUUACCAUCAUUUUCAUGAAUCAAAGAGAAACCUUAUGACACUUAGAUUUUAUGGUGUAUAUGCUCUUAUCCACGUGAAUUUGUCAAACCAUAAUCACAAGACUAGGUUANCUAGGUUAGUGACAAAUCCUAACUCAUAUGGAUUGAACUUGUGCAAUCUUAACUUCUUGCCACCUGGCAGCUCAAGGGCUUGCCAUUGCUUCCAUGUAGCUAUGCAAACAAUUAAGAACAUGUAGAACUCAAAUGUAUAGCCAACUUAACUGGAAUGGGCACAAAAAUGUCAGCACGAUAGGUUGUCAACCUCUAGUUGUGUGCUAGUGAUGAAAUAUAGGUUUUAUUCUUGAUUACUUCUUGAAACCCUAUUAGGAUCUUUUAGACUCCUACUGUCUCCUUGAUCUAUAAGACUUUCUUUCCAAAUAUUCAAGAGAUAGUGUGGAUUCUAAUCAAGACAAACACUUAACACAACUGGCCUAAGUUGAUCUUUGUUUUAUCCAAAACAUCACAACCUGCCAAUUUCAAAUGUACAAGAGUAGAAUACUUUUACUCUUACAUUUGACAAGUGUUUUAAACCUUCUUUAAGACAUGUCACUUAAGUUACAAUCUUAGAGUAUAACUCUAAGAAUCGUUUUUGGAACGAAGUAUGAAUCAUCUUCUUGAUUUAACCACUUCAACAAUUCAUAACUCCUCUUCUUAACUAUCAGAAUGCACUUAGAGGAUGAAUUGUGAUAAGGUGUCAAAUUCAUUAAGAUGAUCUUAAAACAUGAUACUAAAUACCCUCCCAUCUUUUCAUAUUUGAGAAACUUUUAUCCUUCUGCCUAAUUUGAUUCUUCAUAUUCGUUCUGUUAUACAUUGAAACUUUUCCAAUGUCUCAUAAUUAUACUUAAGCUUGUAAGUAUAAUCAUAUUUACUAAACCUUAGUAAAUCAUGACGAAUAGUCUUAUCUAUCUUUUGUGGUGGACUUUGACAAGUGCACAAGAAAGUGUACUUGAUCCCUUAAUCCUUCUCUUGAGUCACAUAUACAUGUGACCAUGGAACUAGUCUUAAUUUUCCAAAGUUGAAAAUUCAGACACUACCACAAAUGAAAGAAUCAAAUUCAUAUUUCCAAUAUUGCUAUAAACAUACAAACAUCAAGUUUUCAUGAAUGUCAUUGUAAGGAGAUAAAAAUAAAGUAAAACAAACUUUUAUUUAUUUUAAAAUGCGGAAAAAAAAAACUUUUUCCUUACAAUGUAACAUGAAAUGAAAACUAUGUUAUUACAUUUUCCUACCAACCUAUCAUAACUCCUAAGAAGUAGCUCAAGAAUCUGAUCUUCAAUCAAGCGAUAGAAAUCCAUCUUCGAGUUCAGAUUCAACAUACUCUUUCUUUAAGUUUCCUUCUAUUUUCCUUUGAUUCUUAAAACAUCAACAUGUGACCCAGUCACAUCAUGUAAUAAGAAUCUUAAAAUAGAAACUUAAUAGAGUUUGAUAGUGGACUUUACCUGAAGUAGAGUCAUACUUAUUCACUUUACCAGCCUUAUGAUCUUUCAGGAAUAUUUGGCAGCUUCGCAACCAAUGCCCUUUCCUUUUUGGCAAUAGAAUCAUAUGGAUCCUUUGGGAAUGGUACAUGGGAUAGUCUCAGACUUAGCCUUUCUCUUUACCAUUUGGUCAACCGAGUUGACUAUGGCCGAUCCCUUUCCUUUGGGAAGAAAAAUGCUUUUUCUGGAUUUCGAGUGUCACCAUUUUCAAUGUCCAUAAAGUUUUGGGAAGUCGAUCUUCUAAUCAAAUUUGCUUUACUAGCCUUGCAAAUCAUUGUUGAUUCAGCAACACCAAUCAAAUAGAUAAGAUCAUUAAGGGUCUUGUCAUAGUAUGUUUCAUAGGAGUCCCAAAAGGAACUCACUAUGUGACUUAGAAAGUGAUUGAACCACUAACUUUCUCAAGACUUUGACACCCAACUCUCCCGGCUUUUCAGUUUGUGACUUCAUCUGCAAGAUGCGAUCACAACAAGACCUUGCCUUGCCAAUAGGGUUUGAGUGACCUUGAACUUGUGGGUUAGGGAGAAUAAUUGGAGGAGGUGGAGGAAGUGAAGUUCCAAGAGAUUUGGGAAGAUCAUAGAUGUCUGAACUCGACAUCUUUUGGGAGAUAUUCAAGAUAGUUGAUUCAACAUCCUUAAUAUAACACCCAAUAUGAAAUAUUAAGGUUAGGACCCAACAAAAUAUUUUAUAACUUGGAAGAGGGAUGCCGUAAUCCAAGCUAUAAAAUAUUUGAAGGUAGGUGAAUGGCGAUUCACCAAUUUCCACCAUGGAAAACAAAAUAUAUUAUUAGAUUUUAAUUGGUUUUGAAACUCCUAGAUUCUUUUGAGAUUCAUUGAACUUUUCAAUGGCAUGUUUCAAUCUCGAGUGUUCCCUUCAGGUUUUGUGACUAGGAUGCCAAGGAUCACAAAACAAGGUGUGAAUAACCAUGCAAAUAUACUUGGUACCCUUAAUAUUUACCCCUCAAUCGAUGUGCCGGUUAACCACACACGCUCCAUCGAUACUAUGAUAAAUAUUAAGUUCCCUUUGCCUACCUUGUUAAAUACGAGUUAGUGUGCCGGUUAACCACACACGCUCCACUAACUGACUUAAACAAAGUGCAAAGUGUAAUUUCAUGGUAUAGCACCUUAUUCACAUUUUCCUAAAGUAACUAAGAUUGGGAAUUAUAAAAAACAUUUAGUUACUUUAUAUUUAUCAUUAAUACUUUUAAUGAAGGGAGAAUUAUAGUCCUUGUCCUACCCGUUCAACUAACGACCCAUCACCAGUCAUGGAAGCGGUGGGUGAGAGUGGACACCCAUUAAACUGCCAUUUUAUAGGCAGUAACCUUAUAACCCCCUUAUAGACCGGCUUCGUGAAUGAGACCUACUAAUGGUAAGACGCUUAUAAUAUUAUAAAGUAUAAGGGUUGAAAUUAAACAUUUAAAAUUCUAAGGGCUUAACUUGGAAUUAAAGUAUUCAUGGGAAAACUUUACAAAUUCCAAAACUUGAGGGCAAGUUUUUGAAACUAUUCAAAACUUUUCAUUUCAUAACUUAUGAGUUUAAUGGUUCAUUAAACUGAAGACUCUUCAUUUUUUAUGUAACCUCUUAUUCUUUAAUAACACUUUUAAAGAAGUGACUCUUAAACAUCCAUAACAUGAGGACAAGUUAUGGAGUCAUAAUACUAUUUAAUGAAAAAGACUCUUCAUUUUUUAUGUAACCUGUGGCACUUUUAUAAGUUUUAAGAUUCAUAAAUGUGACAUUUUAUGUAACUUGAGGACAAGUUACAAAAACACAUUUUAUGAACUACUUCUAGAUUAAUUAAGAUUGAAAACAACUAAAACACAAUUUUUUUCAUUAAUCUAAACUAACUCAUAAAUCAAGGAAACAUAAAACUUUUGGUAAUCCAUAACUUAUGGAGUUAAAUGCUUGUUUUAUGAUGAAACUUUUCAUGUUCCAUAACUUAAGAAUAAGUUAUGGAAUUCUUUNNNNNNNNNNNNNNNNNNNNNNNNNNNNNNNNNNNNNNNNNNNNNNNNNNNNNNNNNNNNNNNNNNNNNNNNNNNNNNNNNNNNNNNNNNNNNNNNNNNNNNNNNNNNNNNNNUUUUUUUUUUCAACUUUGAAAAUAAAAUAUUUGCAUCAAUAUAACAGAAAACAACCCGUGGCUCUGAUACCACUGUUGGGUUUUGAGCAUUCUAACACUUCCUAAGUGUACAUGCAACCCUAAAUACCUUGGAUCUAUGUUUUCUCUAUUAUACAUGCAAAUAAGAACAUCCAAGGUAUUAUCCUAAUCUAGCAUACAAAAACUAUGAAUGUAACAAGAUAGAAUACAUACCUCUUGAUGUAGCUUGAUGUCUUCAAGCUUUAAGAGCUUAGCCCCAAUAGUGUGGAAGCCUCAAGUGGAAUCACAAAUCACCAAGACACCUUGGAAUACUUUAGAGAAUAUGAUUACUUGGUUCUCUCUAGUGAAAUUGGCUAGCCCUUCUUUAGUGUAUCCACACUAGUGCCAAUUUCACCAACCAAAGACAUCUUUAUAUAGUAUGGAGGAUUAGGGUUAAACCCUAAUACCCAUGACCUUUCAUUUCCUAGGAUCCAUGGGUUAAACACUCCAUGGACUAUCCAUGAAAGCUUAGCCCAACCUAAAUGAACUUGGCCCAUUCCAUAUAUAUAAGAGUCCAUAUUUAAUUAGUUCCUUUUGAUCACUUAAUUAAUUAUAAAUUAAUUCUUGAUCAAUACUAAUUAAAUAAUAUGAUUCCAUAUUAAUAUAUUAGAACUUAUAAUAUAUUAAUAUUAAUCAUAAACAUACUAUUCUCAAAAGAUUAUCCAUAUAAAUUGUGUCGGUGAAGUGCAACCCAAAUGGACCAUGCCGGGUCGGGUCAAGUACAUACCAAAUAUAGUUAUGGACUUAGACAUUAAUCCAACAGUCUCCCACUUGGAUAAGUCUAAAACUAUUAUUGAGUAUGACUUCAAAACCUAACUGGCAAUCGUAGCUCUUAAAGCCGCUGUCGAACUCUGACCUUGUAAAUGACUUGUCCAUUAGAUAAGGGAUCAUAUAUUUCUCCAUUCUAGAUAUCAUAUGGACUGAGACAUGGAUUAUAAUCAUUCUCUCUGUCCAUUUAUUGUUUCCGGAUUUCCGAUUCAUGACGAUUGACUGAUUGAACAAAUCAAAUUAGUCCUGGCUUGGCCAAGCACUCACAUGUGUCAUCAUUAAAUCAUCGAGGGGCCCACAUACAUCACUUUUAUCCCGAAGGUAAAAGGAAUGGAUAAACUUCGACUCAUAUGACUUGUUCUACUACUUGUUGAAUCAUACACAAAGGCACGUUUUAUAACAUCGAGUUACCGAAUGCGUUUUCGUGCAAUCAAUGUACAACCAACUCAUAGUAACAACUCAUAUCUCUAGGUUUGAAGAAUAUAAGAUAUUAUCGUCUCACGAUCACUCGUGAUAAAAUCCAUGAAAUGAUUCAAAUGAGCGCGGGUUGAAUCCAAUACUCAGAACUUAUGAGCACUCAUGAGAGUUGUAGCACAACUUCGUCCACCAGCUUGGACCUCUACAAGCCAACCCAUGACAUUCUUGAUUCAUAUGUAAUUCCAACAUAUGACCGAAUGUGGAUGGUUUGAAUAACUUAGUCAUUCCGAAAGAAUAACCUAGUUAUUAUGGAAGUCAAAACAUGCAAAGCGAAACACAAGAAUAAAUGAAUCUAAUAUGGUAUCAAAACCUAUGAAUAUAAAUAAAAAAACUUUCUAUUUAUCACCAUACUGAUUACUCAUUAUUCAUUGUGUCGGUUUUAUCAACUUUAUACUUGAAUUAAAAAACACUAGGUGUCCCAUGCUCCAAGCAUGUACACUAUGUUUUCUAAACAAUAGCUUUGC
RNAcentral lists this long non-coding RNA (11370 nucleotides) under Lactuca sativa (garden lettuce). RNAcentral describes it as "long non-coding RNA (LSAT_LNC001108)". The record is from RNAcentral. Lineage: Eukaryota; Viridiplantae; Streptophyta; Magnoliopsida; Asterales; Asteraceae.